This 1245-nucleotide long non-coding RNA is filed under the name Homo sapiens (human). Its description in RNAcentral is "mir-99a-let-7c cluster host gene". Lineage: Eukaryota; Metazoa; Chordata; Mammalia; Primates; Hominidae. The record is from RNAcentral.
UGUGCCCUCAGCCUGUGAAGUCUGCCUAACUCUGGCUAGUCCAUCGCAAGUCACUGCACACGUAUUAAUUCAAUCAGCUCUAUGGUCUAACCCAGGCACAACAGGAAUACAACCUUUUACUACAGAUGUGGGAUUGUUCAUGUCAUCUACUAAUGCAAGAUGGAUCUGAGAACGCUGUCUGGGCUUGGUACCAAGAGCUGGUAUUUCACAGCAGCGACCGCCUCACAGACGAGCUGUGGGAAGCAGGAGGGAGACUCUCUCUUAGGGUGCCACUACUAUGGAGACACAGCUGGGCUGAACAAGAUUUGCUUCAAACGACAACAAGAGAGACAGAAAGUAUCUGGUUCAACCGCUGCCCGAGCAGGCAGGCACCAGAAGAGCUAGCAGCCAAUCCGGCCAUGCUCGAAGCCAGCUCUGCAGCUCAGCCAAUCAGUGACAUCAUUGCUUUCUUUAGCUUGCCCAUGGUGAUGUGAAGAUGAGAAGAAAUAGCAAGGCCCAACCAGUUCUUCAUCUGGAGACAGUUCAACGUUCUGCAAACCAGAUCUUCAGGAAUUUUACUGGGAUAAUUAUCCAAAUAAAUUGCAAGCAUUCUAUCCAAAUGGAGCUCUUUCUGAGAUGAAGAGAAUUCUCAAUGUCAAGAUUUGAACAAGAAGAGAAUGGAAUACACAAUAUGGACAUCCAUAAAAAUUCAUCAGAGAGCAUUUUACUACUGAGCUGCAAAGGGAAAAACUUAAAAUGGAUAUGAAAAGUGAAGAAAGUGAUCAUAGGAGAAAACCAUUUCAGAUCAACCACCUCAGAAGAGCCAGAUUCCACUUCUGUGGCCAGGACUUUUACAUUAUGGCUGGUCCGAUUGUUUUACCCUGCGUUCUAUGCUACUAAACCUUGGAUCAUUCCUAAAGUACAAAUUCUGUUCUCGAACCACAAACAAGGCUAAAAGAUCGGAGGAAAUUCAGUGAAUAUACAGGAUUGGGGUUGUGUAUUUUUAAAAGUGUCUGAUGAUUUGUGAGCCUCAAGUGACUACUCUGUGGAAUCAUCUGUCCUUGCCUUUGAAUUAGCUUUCCCUAGGCCAUGAGUCAACAUUAGUAGUUUAUACAUCCAAAUUGAUGACAAGAGCACCUCAAAGGCAGCAGCCUCAAGGAGCAGCCAUGGCCCCAGACUUGUCGCACGGAUGCAGAAAACUUAAUGGAGGAGGCUGAGGUCAGAAUGGGAAGAGUUUUUAAAAAAUAAAAAGGGGAGCUAAUAUGU